AGGUAAGUCAGUCCCAGUAUUAGGAAAAAUAAGCAGGCAGCAGUUAAGAGAAACAUCGACAAGUAGUGGGCACUGAAACUCCCUGUUGGGGACACCUCCUCCCGUUUAAAUUGCUGGAGAAGUUCCUCUUCGGGUUCGGAAAGCUUCGUUGCUGCUCUUCCUCUCGAAGCUUCUUCAGCUUCUUGAGGUAGACCGGGCGGGUGCUCUCCGUCACUGGUCCGGGAGACAGGCCGUAACGGCGGAGCUGAGAGAAAAGCUCCUCAUCCGAGAGCUGCUGCAUUUUCUCUCCAGGGUGUUUUACAAGCUCCGCGCUACCGGAAGUGACGCGCCGCCCUAGACCCUGAACUAGACCGCGCUGCGUCGCCCUCCCAGCGCC
This 376-nucleotide long non-coding RNA is filed under the name Homo sapiens (human). RNAcentral describes it as "HSALNT0190596". Lineage: Eukaryota; Metazoa; Chordata; Mammalia; Primates; Hominidae. The record is from RNAcentral.